AUUGAACGCUGGCGGCAGGCCUAACACAUGCAAGUCGAACGAGUGGCAGACGGGUGAGUAAUGUGUGGGAAAAUGCGUGAGGGGGGGGGAUAAAUAGUGGACAGGGUAGCUUAUAGCGCAAACUCUCAGAUGUGCACAGCUGGGAGUAGCUGGGUGGUGGGGUAACGGCUCACAAAGGCGACGGUCCCUAGCUGGUCUGAGAGGAUGAACAGCCACACUGGAACGGAGACCCGGCCCGGACUCCUACGGGAGUCAGCAGUGGGGAAUAUUGCAAAAUGGGCGCAAGCCUGAUGCAGCCAUGCCGCGUGUAUGAAGAAGGCCUUCGGGUUGUAAAGUACUUUCAGUGGGGAGGCGUUACCCGCAGAAGAAGCACCGGCUAACUCCGUGCCAGCCGCCGCGGUAAUUC
RNAcentral lists this ribosomal RNA (406 nucleotides) under uncultured bacterium. RNAcentral's name for it is "partial 16S ribosomal RNA". It matches the Rfam family "Bacterial small subunit ribosomal RNA", at positions 29 to 526 of the family's 1533-position model. The record is from RNAcentral.